RNAcentral lists this long non-coding RNA (778 nucleotides) under Amborella trichopoda. Its description in RNAcentral is "long non-coding RNA (ATRI_LNC003767)". The record is from RNAcentral. Lineage: Eukaryota; Viridiplantae; Streptophyta; Magnoliopsida; Amborellales; Amborellaceae.
UAAAGACACCUUAAACCAAACAAAUGAACAUCACCAGAUCAAAUACAAAAUGAAAAAUAUCAGCGUGCACCAAUCUAUAGCCAUUUCCUGAUUUGGGUGACUUGUUUAGGCAUGCAUUUGCUAGCCACCAAAGUUAUAAUUCAGGAUGGAUCCCAUAAAUCAGUCUCAAUUCUACUAAAAAAUUCUGAUGCCAAGAAUCAGAGUUCGAUGAAAGAAGAUAUUGCGCCUAUGAGCCAUACACAAAGACAUCGAUCCAAUUCCAGAUCACCAUAAGUAACUACAUAAAGGCAUAAUCAACUAAAUCACAAAGAAAAAUAACAGACCGGAAUCAAAGCGGGAAAAAAAAUAAACAACGAAUGGUAUUAAGCCCCAAAUCAGCUAGUAAUUCAAGAGAAAUGGAUAUAUCUGAGGGUUUUGCAUUUACAGUCUCGAAAGACGAUAUUGUCUCCCCUUUGUGAGAGAACGAAAAUCUGUGAGAUCAUGGCGGCGAGUAGUAGACCCGCUAACGUCGAGCUUCGAAAGAGGAAUAGCAGAGAUAUCUGAAUUUCAGUUCCAUGAUAUUCGAUAUGACUGCGUCUUCCCCUUUGUUUUCUUUUAGCUUAAAGGGGAAAUAUCUGUAUAAGUCAUCGAGCUUAUACUGUUCAAAUACGGUGCAUCUCAAAAAUCCCAGAGGCAUGGCGUGUUUGAUAACAGGAACCAACCAAAUGAACUCAAAAUUGGAAGGUACUGAAGAACAGUAAACUAGAUUUACUUAAGAAGUUCAUGAUUUCGAUAUUUG